AUUUAAGUCGGAUGUGAAGCCCUGGGCUUAACCUGGGAAUUGCACCCGAUACUGGGUAUCUUGAGUAUGGUAGAGGGAAGUGGAAUUUCCGGUGUAGCGGUGAAAUGCGUAGAUAUCGGAAAGAACACCAGUGGCGAAGGCGACUUCCUGGACCAAUACUGACACUGAAGCGCGAAAGCGUGGGGAGCAAACAGGAUUAGAGACCCUGGUAGUCCACGCCCUCAACGAUGAGAACUAGCUGUUGGGAAGUCCACUUCUUAGUAGCGAAGCUAACGCGUUAAGUUCUCCGCCUGGGGAGUACGGCCGCAAGGUUAAAACUCAAAGAAAUUGACGGGGGCCCGCACAAGCGGUGGAGCAUGUGGUUUAAUUCGAUGCAACGCGAAAAACCUUACCUACCCUUGACAUCCUCGGAACUUGUCAGAGAUGACUUGGUGCCUUCGGGAACCGAGUGACAGGUGCUGCAUGGCUGUCGUCAGCUCGUGUCGUGAGAUGUUGGGUUAAGUCCCGUAACGAGCGCAACCCCUAAAUUGAUAG
This 534-nucleotide ribosomal RNA is filed under the name Coxiella endosymbiont of Argas persicus. RNAcentral's name for it is "bacterial SSU rRNA". It matches the Rfam family "Bacterial small subunit ribosomal RNA", at positions 581 to 1117 of the family's 1533-position model. Lineage: Bacteria; Pseudomonadati; Pseudomonadota; Gammaproteobacteria; Legionellales; Coxiellaceae. The record is from RNAcentral.